RNAcentral lists this antisense RNA (75 nucleotides) under Streptomyces sp. RSD-27. RNAcentral describes it as "ASpks sRNA". It matches the Rfam family "ASpks TB sRNA". The record is from RNAcentral. Lineage: Bacteria; Bacillati; Actinomycetota; Actinomycetes; Kitasatosporales; Streptomycetaceae.
CUUGAGGGAGCCCAGCCACAGGGGCCGGCCUUCGGCACGGUCCUGACCGUACGUGGCGAUGAUGGCCUGCGCCUC